RNAcentral lists this ribosomal RNA (379 nucleotides) under uncultured organism. RNAcentral describes it as "partial 16S ribosomal RNA". It matches the Rfam family "Bacterial small subunit ribosomal RNA", at positions 525 to 896 of the family's 1533-position model. The record is from RNAcentral.
GGGGGGGGGGCAAGCGUUAUUCGGGAAUUACUGGGGCGUAAAGGGGCUCGUAGGCGGCCAACUAAGUCACACGUGAAAUCCCUCGGGCUCAACCGGGGGAACUGCGUGUGAUACUGGAUGGCUCGAGUUCGGGAGAGGGAUGCGGAAUUCCAGGUGUAGCGGUGAAAUGCGUAGAUAUCUGGAGGAACACCGGUGGCGAAGGCGGCAUCCUGGACCGAGACUGACGCUGAGUGAGCGAAAGCCAGGGGAGCAAACGGGAUUAGAUACCCCGGUAGUCCUGGCCCUAAACGAUGAAUGCUUGGUGUGGCGGGUAUCGAUCCCUGCCGUGCCGAAGCUAACGCAUUAAGCAUUCCGCCUGGGGAGUACGGUCGCAAGGCUG